CGGAGGCAGCAGUGGGGAAUCUUGCGCAAUGGGCGAAAGCCUGACGCAGCAACGCCGCGUGUGUGAUGAAGGUCUUCGGAUCGUAAAGCACUGUCGCGAGGGACGAAUAAGGGCCGGGAUAAUACCCCGGUCCGAUGACGGUACCUCGAGAGGAAGCACCGGCUAACUCUGUGCCAGCAGCCGCGGUAAUACAGAGGGUGCAAGCGUUGUUCGGAAUUAUUGGGCGUAAAGCGCGUGUAGGCGGCCCGGCAAGUCAGGUGUGAAAGCCCUCGGCUUAACCGAGGAAGUGCGCCUGAAACUAUCGGGCUUGAGUACCGGAGAGGGCGGCGGAAUUCCCGGUGUAGAGGUGAAAUUCGUAGAUAUCGGGAGGAACACCAGCGGCGAAGGCGGCCGCCUGGACGGUCACUGACGCUGAGACGCGAAAGCGUGGGGAGCAAACAGGAUUAGAUACCCCGGU
RNAcentral lists this ribosomal RNA (457 nucleotides) under uncultured bacterium. Its description in RNAcentral is "bacterial SSU rRNA". It matches the Rfam family "Bacterial small subunit ribosomal RNA", at positions 343 to 791 of the family's 1533-position model. The record is from RNAcentral.